CUCUCAUCAGCUCAUUGCUGCUACCCAAGCACCUGUAGACAUGGAACCAAUGUUCAACAUUCUUCUCUAUCCCUUCACUAGAUUUGUGAUCCUCCUUGCAUUCCUUACCCUUUGGUUCGUAAAACCACAAGCCAUAGAGUAGGAAAAUAUUUACCAGAAAGAGAAAAGGAGUAAGCUUAAUAUAUAGUUCAUUAUGCCUUGAGAACAAAUUCAACAAUUUUUGUAGCCCCUUAUUCAGUUUAUCAGGUUUACUAUUUCUUACCUCCAAUUUUAUAUAUACUUCGGGCAGCGCCCCAACGCUCCAAGAACUUGUUGGCUAGCCUAUCAGAGUAUGUCAAGUUUGGAUCCAUAGUUGGGCCUACCGCAAUGAUACCCAAUCAGAAGAUUCAUAGCUAAAGUUUUCUAUAAUCUAAAAGAAAUCACUAGACAAUUUAAUUUUGGAUGAUAUUAGUUUGACUCCUAGAUGCUCUAAUCAGUCAAUACUAAAAACAUCUUAGGAUUUUAUUGAUACAUCAAACAACAAGCAAUGGUUAUGAAAAGUACACGAACAAAAGACAUAUGCAAAGAUAAAUGCAAUGUAGAAUCUUCUACACAUAAUAUACAAUACUUUAAAGCAUGAAUUGACGUACUCGACUGGAUACAUUCUAGUUUAUAGAACUCUUGUACACAAAAUACUUGACUUCACCCUCCUACAAAAUAACAUCAAUCAAACACAAACUACUGCUCAAUAGAGACAGGUAAAUGCCAAGUUAACAUUAGCAUGGAAAUCAAGAUAAAAUGCCAUAAUUUGCACCCAAAAAAAGAGAUUAUUGCUAUUCAAUACAGAAAAGUGAAGUAUCAUGCGAGAGGUUGAUGAAGCACUUUUUCAAGAAACUCAACACAAGAAAACUGAGCAUAAUUGAAGAAAAGGGUAUACCCUUAAUUGAUCUCUCACUGGUUCUAACCUCUGACCCCUCCAACUCCUUACAUUAUAAAAUCUUGUAGCAGAGUUAUGCUAACCGGGUAUGUUUUCAAGUGAUAAACCAUGAAGUUCCAUCAGUAUGCCGUGAAAAGAUAGAUGGAGAAAUUUUUCUUACAACCCAUAGUGGAGAAGUGACUACAGAUUAAACCUGUGAUAUAUGUUUCUAUAAUACAGAAACCCAUAAUAAGAAUGUUAGGGGUGGGAAAGAAUUUUUGAUUUUCUACAGUCUAGCAACUAUAGAUAUGAAACUCAAUAUUUAAAACUCAGAAUAACAUUCAUAAUCCACAAAAACACUACAAGUCAUUUUAUUUAGCUAUUGUCAUCCCUGAAAAGAAUCCACCUAACUUAGUAUAAGAGAGAUUAACUGAUAGAAAAUGGGCUAUAUUCAUUCUAGUUCUAUUCUUUUAGGAUUCCAAGAAAGAGAUGGGAGAAGAAGAGAUAGAGUUUCUUGAAUUACAUCAUAAAAUGCUGGAGGAGCAAAGUGAAUUGAUCAGAUUCAAAAAAGGAGCAGAGUCAUUGAUAAGAUUGACCUGCAACUAGCAAAGGAUUUUAUAUAUAACUACUGCAUCCUAAGAAGUUUAAUAUAUUUAAUUAGAAAUAGAAGAUAAUAACCAAUCACGAAAACAUAAAUCACAACUGCUACAAGGAACUCGGUAAUAGAAAAGCGAGUGAGUUAUUUUUUCUUAAGCAUAUGACAGUUAAAAUUCAAUCUAUCUAAUUCCAACAAGAUAGAGUUAGAAUAUUCUCUCUAGAAAUAUAUAGAUCAGACGAAAUUGUGUAACAACCAGAAUUAUUCAACAUAAAUAGUAAUUUAUAUAUACUAUAUUGAUCUCAACAACUAGAAUAUUGCAACUCUAGAACGUAAACAACAAAUGAAAAUGGCAGAACUACAUAAAUAUGAUAGGUAACCAGAAAGGGGAUAGGGAAUUAGAUUGAUUCAGAAAAGGACUUGAGAAGCACAAACUUUGGCUAAGCAUGAUCACAAUACACAUAAUUUUAAAAACUGCUAAUGACACCCCCUUUAUCCUUUUGUCACAUGCUUCCUAACUCAACCUGGAUUCCAAGCAAAUGUCUUCUUGGGCUGUCUAAUUCCUUGGCAUUUUGCUGUUUAGCACCAUGCCCAAUAGCUUGGCCAACCUUUGUCCAAACAACCGGCCCAUAAACAUAUCGGAGUUAUCCUUGUUAACAACAAAGUGGUAGAGGUACAAAGUUAUAAUACAUGUGCAGAUUAAAGUUGGAAAAAUAGUUAUAAGUUUAAUAUCCAACUAUUUUAUAUUUUGAACAAACUCUAACAAAAAAAGGAACUAAAGAGAGUAGAUAAUUGCAUUGGGUCAGCCACUCUAUGAAAGAAAUUCAAACAUUAAUCUCACUCUUUAGAUUAAGAACCACUCAAUUUUGAGGUAUAUUUUUGUAAAUGGCACAUUUAAGUAAGACAUACUAAUGAAUAUCCCUUGUUCCAGCUCAAGAGACUUCAAUAUAUGUAGCAUUUGAAGACUACUCAGCAUUUUCAAUUAUGUCGAAGAAUAUAGAGCAUUUCCCCUGUUAAUAAUUCAGUUUUGUUAAUCGACAAAGUGAGCAAAGUGUAUACUAGAAUUUUGUUAACUUAACCAUAAAAUAUGCAACUUUCAACAAGUAUAUUGCGUAUAAUUACAAUAAUAGCUUAAUAAUCUGUUCACAAAAGGAUAGUACCUCCAUGUUUCGAUCUUGAGCAUUUCAACCAAUAGCAAUGUAACAUCCAUCUGAAAUAAUCAUCUCACAACAAAUAUCUCGACUCUGCCACUGUAAUCAUUAGAAGUUAAAAUUGACAAACCCUAGUUGCUUUAAAAAGAUCAAAUAUGUUAUGCGCAUUCGCUUAGAAAGUAAUGAAAAUUUGCAUAGAUGUUCAACUUAGCAAUCACAUAGCACUAAUUGAAGCAAAUCAAACAGAGAAUGUUUGAGAUAACCAAAUCGCAUUUGACGAACAGAGCAAACAAAAUCACGAAGAACAGAAAACAUAAUAUAAACAAUUGUGCAUGUGAUUCUACAAUUCUAAGAGGCAGGGAAAGUACAACGCGUGGCGAACGAAGAGUGUGAUUCUUAUUCUGCAAGUUGACGGGCGGCGGCGAUGGAAUGGAGGAACAUACGACGAUGGUGGGAGCGGAGGCAUUUUGGUGAGCAGGACAAAGGGAGGGAAUUUUUGAACAGUAAAAAGGAAUUGGAGAGAAGUGCACAAUUAUUAAAGUGGUCUCUCGAUUAUUAAUUUUUGCAAGCCAUAUGUCUUAUUUGC
Molecule: long non-coding RNA, 3227 nt
Filed under: Nicotiana tabacum (common tobacco)
Lineage: Eukaryota; Viridiplantae; Streptophyta; Magnoliopsida; Solanales; Solanaceae
Description: long non-coding RNA (NTAB_LNC001477)
Source: RNAcentral